This 253-nucleotide ribosomal RNA is filed under the name uncultured bacterium. RNAcentral describes it as "partial 16S ribosomal RNA". It matches the Rfam family "Bacterial small subunit ribosomal RNA", at positions 524 to 776 of the family's 1533-position model. The record is from RNAcentral.
UACGUAGGGUGCGAGCGUUGUCCGGAAUUAUUGGGCGUAAAGAGCUCGUAGGCGGUCUGUCGCGUCGGAUGUGAAAACCCGGGGCUUAACCCCGGGCCUGCAUUCGAUACGGGCAGACUCGAGUGUGGUAGGGGAGACUGGAACUCCUGGUGUAGCGGUGGAAUGCGCAGAUAUCAGGAGGAACACCGAUGGCGAAGGCAGUUCUCUGGGCCGUAACUGACGCUGAGGAGCGAAAGCGUGGGGAGCGAACAGG